AUACGGCCCCUCUUCGAGGCGAAUAGAUAGAGGAGUCCGUUGCCACCUCCCCCUUCUGCGUAGUGGAAACUACUGCCCCGGGGCGGGGGCUGAAAAGUGACGGUUGGAUGGGAGAAGGGGACAGAGAUGCGUGGGUAAAUACCUAGGAGUGGAAUUGUGGAAUCAUAUGAACAAAGUCAGAGGAACCAACUGCUGGCUGUUGUUCAUUGGCUAAUUUUUGUUAAGACUAUCCUCUCUGGAACUAUUCUGAGUAUUCUCUGAAGAGUGGAGAAUGUACCCUACAAUUAGCUGGGCUUCCUGUGCCUCUGCCACGUGGCCAAGAAUUUCACCCAGAUGGUUGCUGGUCCAAGCAGUAGGAGAGAUGUGGAGCAGACCUGGGCUUAAUCUGCAGCCGAAAGCUAGGUAGGCCCAGCUGACCUAGAGACACUGGAUAGAAGUUGGUUGCUAUAAGUAUUGAAUUGUGGUUUGGUUUGUUAUGCAAUAUAUUGCAGUGAUAGCUGUUA
Lutra lutra (Eurasian river otter) is the source of this 503-nucleotide long non-coding RNA. RefSeq lists it as uncharacterized. The record is from RefSeq and is a predicted model, not a curated record. NCBI's taxonomy places the organism in Eukaryota, Metazoa, Chordata, Mammalia, Carnivora, Mustelidae. The transcript has 4 exons.